CUGAAAGCUCAAAAUUCCAAUUCUUUCCAUCCUUGCAGGAAAGCCUACAAUUCUGAGAUCAUUGUAUUACAAAGCUCCUCAGAAUUAUGCUGAACUGUUGCAACAUCCUGCGGAGUGCACAAAGGAAAGACACCAAGAGGAAAUUUAUGGUCAAAGGCCAUAACAAAACUGGAUUCUCAAUGGCUUUUUGAGGGAGUUAAGAAAAGAGAAAGUGCCGCCUCUUCUGUUAACAUGUAACUUCAAGACACGAGAUUUUUCAAGGACAGUACACAAGCCCUGAGACAAAACUCAUCCUUUCAAGUGGCUGGUUCUUAAAGACCUCCUAUUAAGAAUUCAGGUGCAGGUGGAUUAAGCUGAUGACAGCACCACGCAUGGAACUUGGGUGUCACCAGAGGAGUUUUUUGGCAGGCAAACAAUCCGGCUGUGAGCUGCAAGCACCUGCCUGUGCCCCUGCACCCCACCACCAUGCAGUGCAGGUGGAUCUCAUGUGCUGCUUGCACACCAGGAUCCACUACAGCGGCUCCAGAUUUUCCUCCUCCUCCACAGCUGUCACUAGCUUCCAGCAGAGAAAUCUUGACAGCUUUUGCUAACGUAGAAGGAAGUGCUACAACAAUGAAGGUCUCGGGGACUCAGGGCUCACCUCCAGGAACAUGAGGGAGCGCAGCAGCACAGAGCAGCAGGAAGGGGAGCCACGACAGAGACAAGGGAGACUCCACCCUGGACCCUCCCUGGGCUGUCACCAGAGGCUGAUACCUUGAUUUAUUGCUCCCUUUAUAAUGGCUGUACUUAUUACUUAUGUUCAUUUAAAUUAAGGAACUUGGUAACUGCCAUAUUUGACAGAGCAGUUUUUGUAAUAGAG
RNAcentral lists this long non-coding RNA (859 nucleotides) under Anser brachyrhynchus (Pink-footed goose). RNAcentral's name for it is "lncRNA (ENSABRG00000008873.1)". Lineage: Eukaryota; Metazoa; Chordata; Aves; Anseriformes; Anatidae. The record is from RNAcentral.